GAUUGGCAAGAAAGUUGAUAAAGAAAAGUAAUUCAUUCUCAUUCCCAGCUUCCAUGAGAUCCCAUGAAACCAAUGACUUGUUUUCUUUUCCAAGAAAAUAUGUUGAGCCUUCAUCCAUAAACUGUGCAUACUACGAUUUACACGAACUUGAGGCUAUUGAAAUUAACCAACAAGCCAAUUUAUAAGAUCACAGAACAUCCCUGGCAUUGAUGCUAAACAAACAACACAGAAAAGCAUUGUGAAUCAAUACGGGUGAUCUGGGAGAUUCAUUCACUUUUACCAUCUUAUUUUUAUAAUAUCAAGUCAUAUCCUUUAAUUAUUUGUGCUCCUAUGUUGCAUGUUCCAUGAUAAUAUUGUAAAGGAAGGGCGCUUCAGAUCUUAAAUGUAUCUUACAUGUGUUUUACUGCCUAACCACAUUCCAAGCUACUGAAUAAAACAAAACCGAAAUUGGAGCAAUAUACAAGGAUGAACUCAAAAAAAAUUAGUAACCUUAUUUCUGUCAGGAUUACAUGGAUUGCUAUAUUACUUGCGCUGUACAAUGCAAGUGCUACUUCCUGUUCUUUAGCUCCACAGAAGGGCUUCAAGGACAUUUAUGAUGCAAAUCUGCGAACCAGUAAUCCAACCCCCACAGCAGCUGCAAUGCUGAAGGGAGAUGCAGAUACACAGACAUCACUGCUAUGCAACCAAAAACAAGCCCCUGCAUAUUUGAUGUUUUCAUUUCAUCCUGCAGUAUUAUUAACAUUAGAAGGCACUUCUGUUGGAUUGGAUGGUGGAGUUUGGGGUCGAGGUGUGCUGACAUUUCCCAUGCGAUAGUCAUCAUGAAGUGUACCAAAUUCAUUCCACUCAACCCCAGCUAUCGCGGAGUUAGGGAACUCAGAAUUUAAUGCUCAAUAUACGAUGAAGUGAUAGCAUAACAAUUAGGUAAAAAGAAUGCAAUGUUUUAGCAAGGAUACGUUCAGUGCGCCAUAUGUCUGUUAUGCUAACACCAGCAUCUGAUAAAAGCCAGUAAUCCGCAUCACUCUGCAAACAAACAAAAUUAAGAAUAAACAAAAUUUAAAAUAUAUGCAAAAUGUGAAAAUAGUUCACUUCUUG
This 1092-nucleotide unclassified non-coding RNA is filed under the name Hevea brasiliensis (rubber tree). Lineage: Eukaryota; Viridiplantae; Streptophyta; Magnoliopsida; Malpighiales; Euphorbiaceae. The record is from RNAcentral.